UACGUAGGGUGCGAGCGUUAAUCGGAAUUACUGGGCGUAAAGCGUGCGCAGGCGGUUAUAUAAGUCAGAUGUGAAAUCCCCGGGCUCAACCUGGGACCUGCAUUUGAGACUGUAUAGCUAGAGUACGGUAGAGGGGGAUGGAAUUCCGCGUGUAGCAGUGAAAUGCGUAGAUAUGCGGAGGAACACCGAUGGCGAAGGCAAUCCCCUGGACCUGUACUGACGCUCAUGCACGAAAGCGUGGGGAGCAAACAGG
Molecule: ribosomal RNA, 253 nt
Filed under: uncultured bacterium
Lineage: Bacteria
Description: partial 16S ribosomal RNA
Rfam family: Bacterial small subunit ribosomal RNA
Source: RNAcentral